This is a long non-coding RNA of Drosophila gunungcola (fruit fly), 854 nucleotides long. RefSeq lists it as uncharacterized. The record is from RefSeq and is a predicted model, not a curated record. The transcript is spliced from 2 exons. Lineage: Eukaryota; Metazoa; Arthropoda; Insecta; Diptera; Drosophilidae.
AUCGUUCGAAAGGAAUAUUUAGUUUCCCUACAUUCUAGCAAGUGUAAUUUUUUAGUUUUAUGGCCAUUUUUGGUAAAUCAAUUGACUUUUAAAACGUUUUUCUCAAAUGUAUCAUAUCAGGAUUACGAUUCCGGGGCUAUGUAUAGUGCGAUUUGUACUACAGUGAUAUUUUUAGAUAACACAACAUUGUUUUUUGCGGCUAUGUUAGUUUAUAUAUAUAAUUAGGCUUUGCUGUAAGCAUUUGCGUAAUUGACAUUUAAUAUUUUCUUUAUAGAUUUGCUCUUUCUUCAGUCCCUUCAACUAUCCCGCCUUGCUAUGUGUCAAUUGAAUCCUCUGCGAUACUGUUUAUCCCCAGUUGCCACUGCCUUCGCUGGCGUAACAAGGACUUACCAGCUUGCGUAUUGUCAUACUGUUUUAGAACGCAACGCUAGGCGUAAGCUAGCCUCAGUUUACGGUCAUGACAAAUCAAUGCCUGAGGAGACAGUCGAAACUUUUUUUCCUUUCGAUCCUUAUUUGCUAAAAAUAUCAAACCAGUAUAUUGAAGACAACUAUAUGGCUUACCAGAGUAAUGAAACAGAAGACAAUAUGGAUAGGUCUGCCGAAAACCUCCUUUCUCGAAAACGUGGAGACUCAGAAUUGGGCGAAGAAGACGAUUUUAUUACAACGGUUAAACGCCAGAAGCAUUUGGAAAUGUCUAAAACCGAAGAGCUUGACAAACAAUUUCAUUGCGGGACUUAAAUCCUAGGUCAUAUUUUAAAGUGUCCAGCUUUUAGUAAUUAAAAAUAUAUUUUCAUUUUACGUAUCAUUUCAACUAGGAAUAGUUUUUACCUGCGUCAGAAUUUAAAAAAACAUUU